CAGUUAAUAGUUUAUUAAAAUAUGAUCUUUGGGAGAUUAAGAUGUAGUUUUACUACUUAUCUGA
RNAcentral lists this transfer RNA (64 nucleotides) under Zorka agnesae. RNAcentral's name for it is "tRNA-Pro". The record is from RNAcentral. Lineage: Eukaryota; Metazoa; Arthropoda; Insecta; Hemiptera; Cicadellidae.